This is a non-coding RNA of Collariella sp. IMI 366227, 75 nucleotides long. The record is from the annotation of a GenBank genome assembly. NCBI's taxonomy places the organism in Eukaryota, Fungi, Ascomycota, Sordariomycetes, Sordariales, Chaetomiaceae.
GGUCGGAUGGUGUAGUUGGUUAUCACGUCAGUCUAACACACUGAAGGUCUCCCGGUUCAAGCCCGGGUCUGAUCA